UUUAGGUGCAAAGCAUGUGGAUCUGAGUGAAGUAUGUUGAAUGCAUGGUCAAUUGAAUAUUAAUGCACUUACAGUUUAAACAAAUUUAAAAUAUGCCAUACUAUUAGUCAAUUUGCAUAUGCUAAACUAAAUAUCACUCAAAUAUGCAAUAAUUAAGGGCUACAAUGAUAUAUAUUUUAAAUACACAUAACUAUAUUAUCAUAAUAUUCAUAAUUAGGCUCUAGACAUGUAAUUUAUUCAGUUAACCAUAAGCCUGUCAAUUACUGAAUUCCGAAUGUCAAAUAUUUGAUAUGAUUAAAUAUCAUUAUGUGUCUCAGAAGAUCUACAAUUUAGAAAUGUUAACUAAUGGUCCUAUAUAUAAAAAAGAAAAUGGCGAUGAAUUAUUAAAACAUGAAGAUGUGCUUCCACUGAGCUUGGAAUUCAAAACUGUGUGGCUAAGAAUUAACGGGCUGUAUAUGUUCAGGGACUAACUUGUCAUACAAUAAGGUGUCAUUGCUAAGCCUUAAUGGUCCUUGGUAUUUUUUGGGCCUAAUUGUGCCUUUAGCAACUAUUAUCAUGCCUACACUUCUAUCGCUAUGCUAUAAUGUCUUGCAACAUAUUAGCCUUUUAAUUAAGAAUUGUCUGUUUAUUUAUUUAUUUUUUCCUUCUUACCAUCUAAUUCAAAUCUAGUGUUUGUAGUUUGUAAGUAUAGGGUACUCCAAGGAACAAAUUCUUCAUGCUGUUUCUGAAGUUUCAGAAACAUCCCAGAGCAUGGAUGUAUCUUCACUCUGGCCGCUAUUCUAUGUCGCCUUCUAGAAGAUCAAGUUUAUGGUUCAACUUCUUUGGAGUCUCAGAAGACGCUAAGAGAGGGCUGUCUUUCAAUAUCAACCAUCUGCAGUUGGUCAAACAGAUUCUGUUGUAAGUGGGAAUGCUCAGAUGGAAUCUGCUCAUUGUGGUGCAUCUAGGUCUUCAUUUUUUGUGGAUUCUGCAAAGAGCUCUUUUACCUUGAGGGCAUGCUCAUCAGCUAUUUUCAAUUGAUUCCCCAAAGAACUGCUAAACAUCCAAUUUUCUUCAAACUUGCACUCUUACCAGAGGGAAAA
Molecule: long non-coding RNA, 1079 nt
Organism: Cornus florida
Lineage: Eukaryota; Viridiplantae; Streptophyta; Magnoliopsida; Cornales; Cornaceae
Exons: 3
Source: RefSeq, a predicted model, not a curated record